Molecule: ribosomal RNA, 397 nt
Filed under: uncultured bacterium
Lineage: Bacteria
Description: bacterial SSU rRNA
Rfam family: Bacterial small subunit ribosomal RNA
Source: RNAcentral
AGUGAACGCUGGCGGCAGGCCUAACACAUGCAAGUCGAACGGCAGCACGGCAGUAGCAAUACUGUGGGUGGCGAGUGGCGGACGGGUGAGGAAUACAUCGGGAUCUACCCUGUUGUGGGGGAUAACGUAGGGAAACUUACGCUAAUACCGCAUAAGAACUGAGGUUGAAAGCGGCGGACCGCAAGGCGUCGCGCGAUUGGAUGAACCGAUGUCCGAUUAGCUAGUUGGCGGGGUAAAGGCCCACCAAGGCGACGAUCGGUAGCUGGUCUGAGAGGACGACCAGCCACACUGGAACUGAGACACGGUCCAGACUCCUACGGGAGGCAGCAGUGGGGAAUAUUGGACAAUGGGCGCAAGCCUGAUCCAGCCAUGCCGCGUGGGGUGAAGAAGGCCUCGG